RNAcentral lists this ribosomal RNA (253 nucleotides) under uncultured bacterium. RNAcentral describes it as "partial 16S ribosomal RNA". It matches the Rfam family "Bacterial small subunit ribosomal RNA", at positions 524 to 776 of the family's 1533-position model. The record is from RNAcentral.
UAUGUAGGGUGCGAGCGUUAAUCGGAAUUACUGGGCGUAAAGCGCGUGUAGGCGGCAGCGCAAGUCGGGCGUGAAAUCCCACGGCUCAACCGUGGAAGUGCACUCGAAACUGCGCAGCUAGAGUCCUGGAGAGGAAGGUGGAAUGCUUGGUGUAGAGGUGAAAUUCGUAGAUAUCAAGCGGAACACCGGUGGCGGAGGCGGCCUUCUGGACAGUGACUGACGCUGAGACGCGAAAGCGUGGGGAGCAAACAGG